Molecule: long non-coding RNA, 977 nt
Filed under: Citrus sinensis (sweet orange)
Lineage: Eukaryota; Viridiplantae; Streptophyta; Magnoliopsida; Sapindales; Rutaceae
Description: long non-coding RNA (CSIN_LNC002474)
Source: RNAcentral
GCAAGUUCUGAUGUCUGCUUUUAUUGCAGAUUAUUUAGGCUAUGUUGAUUGAUAGUCUUGUUGUUUCUAUGGAAUCUUGAAAUACUCUCUUGGUGGCUUCAUGGUCAUGCGGUCCUCAUGGUCCUCCCUUUUCAAGUAGAAGUAGCUCUCCUGGAAGUCUUUGAACAGCAGUGUGACCCUGAAAUGAUAAAGAGUUCAAGUUGUGUUGGUCAGUUGAAUUGCCUUUCUUGGGCAUUAUUGAUAUUGUAGUUGAGCAAGGGUAGCUUUAAGCUACAACAUAAAGUGUUCGAUAAACAUUUAUUAUCAUAAUUUAAAAGUUAAGUUAAUUUUAUUCUACACUUCUAUAAUAAAAAGCUUAAAAUUUUACAGUUUUUUCUGAAUUAUUAUUGAAAAAUCAUAUUUAUCACACGUUAUGAAUUUUUAUUUUAUAACUGUAGACACAAUACCAUAGUGUCAGAGAAUCUUAGUGGAGAUGCAGGAGUCAUUGAUAUUAAUUGUAAAGCCCUGGUGAUAUAAUUGCCUGCACAUUAACUGUUGUGUUUCUUACAGCCAAGCCUUGAAGUUCUUUUCUUACAGCCAAGCCUAAAAGUUCUUCACUGCCUCAUUUGUCAUGCUCGAUGUUGUGUCUCCCUUUGUUGGUUGAUUUAGGCCUCUAUUAAUAUACAAAAAUGGUUUGGUGCUAAUAGAUACUUUACUUGCUUAACAAAAUUGAAUUAACAGAACUGAGCUUCUGAACUUGAUUUGAACAGAGACUCUGACCUCGAGCCAAUGAACAUAGGAUUAAUGCUAAAAGAUGCUAAAAUAGAGCCAUACUUGCCUCCAGUUUUCAAUUUCCAUAGUACAUGACCGAUCUUUGAAAUUCAACAUUUGAUGCUAUUGAUAGGACACUUGUCGACUUCUUCUCUUACGAAGAUCUUCAAGUACCAAAUGAGAUGUAUGAAAAUGCGUUCCUCGACUUGAUCUAAAUAAGAUCAAAA